This is a long non-coding RNA of Haliotis rufescens (red abalone), 3499 nucleotides long. RefSeq lists it as uncharacterized. The record is from RefSeq and is a predicted model, not a curated record. The transcript has 2 exons. Lineage: Eukaryota; Metazoa; Mollusca; Gastropoda; Lepetellida; Haliotidae.
CUUUAAUUUAGUUAAUGUCAGAUCCACCUCUGGCUUUAUUAACUGCCAAGGUGGAGAAGACAAAAGCUGCAUGGGGGCUAUAUCUUCAAGAUUAAUUUGAGCAGCUGAAAUAUCAGAUUGAAGUCUUGUUCCAAGUGGGGGGAGAACCAAUGAUUUUUUUUUAUAGAGAUUUCCAUAAAGGGGGUUAAAAAAAACAGUCAUAUGCUGGAUUCCAGUUAUUAGAGCGUAAUUUAGAGACAUACUGUAAAGAUAUUUUGAUUCGGCGUUGUUUAAAGGGCAAGUUCACACGAAAAUAAACCUAUUUUUCUUGUACUUUUUCAUCAUGAAAAGUAUUUACCUAGUAGUUUCGAAGGCAAAACAAUAAAAAUAUCACACGUAUCUCAUUUAUUUUAUUCAUAAAAUCGGUUAAUAUUUUUCACAUUUACAGAGAGUUCUAUUUCCAUAAUAAACACACCAUGGCUGAUGCCCCUUGCAAUAUGACGUCAUUGGUGCCAAUUGAUAAAGGAAAGACGUCAUAAGACUUUAUUAGACGCGUUUCACGUGGUGUAUGUAGAGGUGUGUGGUUCUAUCUUCUCAGAUGCGCAUCCCAUUGUUUUGUUCGGUGCCGAGCUGUCCAAGAUACAACGCUAAGCACAAUUACUCUAAAAUUAUUUCGUUUUCCAAAAUCGCGACUGAGAAGACAACAAUGCAUGGAUAACAUACUGUAAGAUUCGCGAUUGUGGUUGGAAAGGUCCGUUGUAUGAAUUGCGCUUAUUCGUUCAUUUGUGUUGCGCAUAUUCGCUCUUGCUGAGUUGCUGUCGUCUUCCGUGAGAGUUUAGAUAUCUGCUGGUUCUGAAACCACAGGACCAUUUGUAACUAAUAAUAACAAUAAAAAAAACUCGCCAAAAAAUUAUAGACGAGGCCGAAUGCCGUUUUCGUUACUAUUAUUAGUUACAUGGUCCUGUGCUGAAACUGAUCGGAAGCGGAUGGUGUACGAACCUUAUAUGGAAACGGGCUAAAGGGACAGCACUCUCAUCAAGACCCUGACUGGGAUGUUUUUGUAAACAAACGCCGUAAAGUUGAAGUAACUCGAUCAGGUAAGUUUGCUGUUUUGUUUCUUCUAACCAAAGUAGUAUUUAAGAAAAGUAUUUUAGCAGGGGUAGGGUGAUAUUGUACAUAGUUUCACUUGAUAAUCAUGAAUAUCCUCGAUGUUGUCUAUUUCACAUGUUCACUUCCUCCAUGGUUAUGUCGAUACACCUGAUCAGCUGAUCGUUGCAGUAUGCAGCAAACUCCUGUUGAUGGAGUAAGUUGUGUUACGUAAUGUUUUAGUUUUACAGCCAUUCCCGUCUGAAAUUAACACAAAUCAUCUCAUUUCGGUAAUUAAUAAACUUUAUAAUAACACAGGAAUUAUAUAAACUCAUUGAAAUUCUGUGUGUGUGUGUUUGUGUGUGUACCUAAUCUUUAAAUAAUCAUGUACAAUCAUUUUGAUUCAGACUGUUGAAACUGUUGAAACAACCUCGUUGCCACAUGUUUCUUUUUUUUAUUUAGGCUUUAUAUAUUUUUUUAUUUAAAAAGAUAUCUGGUUUUGCUGGUUUGUAGCUGACAAAAUACCCAGUCUCUAUCCAAAAUCAUCGCCCACCCACCACCCAAAAUAUUCAAAUUCCAUGUUCAAUGCAAUUUACACACAUAUGUACAUGAAAAAAAUCAAGUUACCAUUUUUUAUUUUGUGAUAGUGGGAUAUAGAUGACAAAAGUGUUAAUGUUUCUAUGUUGUAUCUUUCAAAUAAGGAGUCAUGCUUGACACUGAUGCCCAAAAAGUACAGGUCCCCAGUCCAUCAUGGUGUACAGUCACUGUCCAAUGUACACCAGAAGCAUGGCACACGGUGCUUUACAGUAUGAGGUCCCACAAUGAUUAUAUGGAAAAGUAUACAUGCGACGAAACCCUUUCCAUAUUCAUAUGAAAUCUCUGUAAAAAACAAAGUCGAUGAUACGAUUAUGACUAAAUCAUGAGCAUGUGUUAAUGAAUCGCUAUCAAAUAGUGAUAAUACCAGGUGUUCGCGAAAGGUGAGAGUAUCCUGCCCCACCGAUGUCAGAAGAAAUCCCUGGUGUUGAGAUCCAUUUUCAUUGUGUGCAAAUUGUGUUUAUUUUCAUGCAGAGUCAUAAAAUAUUAGAGCGUCUUGUGAGGUACAGUGCUUCAGACAACAAGAGAGCUGUACUUUUGAAUUAGUCAACCAGUGCACUAACAAGUUGCCACUGAGCAUUUAGCCAGUGCUUGUCAUAUUUUCUUCAGUCUUUUCCCCAGCCCAAAACUACCUCAUCCAGCAUCAGCCACCCUGUAUUACAGAAAUUUAUCAAAUGAAACAGCCAAGGCUGAUUGUUGUCAUAGACCAUAAAACAAGAUUUCAAUGAAAAAAGUUUAUUUUAAUGAGCAUAGAGAAAAACAUUACAUACAUCAAAUGCAAAUCUCUCACAAAUCACCUCGACAACACAAGAUGGAAUAACUUUUCUCUGAUUCUUCAACUAUUUCUGCAAAUCCCCAAAGUGAACCUCUUGUUUAUGAGGUGUAGAUCGAUUCUGAAAUGAAAAAGUGUCUUUUAUUAGUCAAGCUAUACACAACAUUACAAAAAAUAUCAUACCUUUUACAUAUAUAUUUUUGUCAUUCAAUCUGGAGGGAUGCCUAUAUAAGAAGUUACUUGUAUUGAUGAUAUAUGCAUAUUUUUUAUUACAUGUUAAUAAUUCAAUAAAUACCAAAACAGUUUAUAGUUCUAUCAUGUUGACAUGAUGUGUUUAUUACUAUAGGUUUGAAUACCUCUUGAAAUAUUGUGGGCAUGUUUCAAUAUCACUGAUGUAAUUCAAUAACUUUACAAGUUACAUAUGCUUUCACAACUUGCUGGCAAAUAAACAUUUAUGGUAUUGGAGAUUUAUUUUACUUGUCAGAUUUGUUUGUUGUGCAUGAUAGAUCUUAAAAUGCAUAAUAAAAUAAAUUGAUGAAAGUAAAUAAUAUAAUAUGUUUUUCUAAACUUUCUUUCAAGUGUUAAUAUAAAAAAGGGUGGUGGGGUAGCCUUGUGGUGAAAGCGUUCGAUCGUCACACUGAAGACCCAAGUUCGAUUCCCCACAUGGGCACAACAUGUGAAGCCCUUUUCUGGUGUCCCCCAGUUGUGAUAUUGCUGGAAUAUUGCUAAAAGCGGGGUAAAACCCUACUCACUCACUCAUAUAAAAAAAUGAUUGCAUAUUUCAUUUGCAUUUUAGGGGGUGGUUGUAACAGACGUUUUGCUCAAAAGGUCAGGUUGGGAGGUCCAAAUUUCCAAACAAAGAUUUACAAUUUCAAAUAUGUUUCACUAAUAUUCAACAAGUUUUACUUAUAGUUUCUUAGAUAAUUUAUAUGUAUUGAUUGUGACAGUAAAUGAGAUUUUUGUAAACAUUUUACAUAUAUCUGGCCCACUCAGUUAAACAACCAAAUGUUUUUAAUAAUUAAUUAUAUAUUAGAUAUUUCGUCUUUUUUAUAGUUUCUAAACUUUUUU